CCGACUUGGGCCCUGCUGGGGCCCGGAGAUGGAGAGACAGCAUUAACGUGGAUUGCAUUUAGUGUUUGUCAGAUACAGUAAGCUGGCCUUGGUUGAAAAGAUGCAGAGAACUUUCAUCAAACAAGACAUAAACGGAGCCUGUUAGACAGGAGGUCAGAGCAGUCAUCACCAGAGAAGAGCGAGCGAGAGAGAAACAGCAUGAGAGGGGAGAGGGUCAGAGGGAGAAGCAGGCUCCCCACUGAGCCGGGAGCCCGACGUGGGACUCGAUCCCAGGACUCUGGGAUUAUGACCUGAGCCGAAGGCAGUCGCUUAACCAACUGAGCCACCCAGGCGCCCAACAAUUAUGAUUUUAACUUCUUGUUUGCAUUAUAAAUAAGUAAAAGGAAAUGUAGUAGCAAGGAGUACUUGGAAUUCCUCUGAUAAAUCUCCAAAUUUCUUCCCCUCAUUCCAUCUGUGUGCUUGGAGACUCAGAGUUGGCCCAUGGUCUCUCAAGUCACCACAAUGGCAUCAAGGCUGAUUUAAAGAUCAAGGCAUAAAGAACAGGAUGCAUGUCAAGAUAUGCAAAAUGUUUGGAAAUCACUUAAAAAAUAGCUAUUGAGCAAUGGAGCUAGAAUUAUGAUUGUUGACGCCAAAAAAAUCAUUUUUUUUUGCUUUCUCUUUUCUCUGCCAUUGUGUUCAGUAGACCAGAAUAUUGAACAGACUUUUUGUAAGACAAAUUCUGAUUUAUUGUGUAUUUAGUAUAUGUCCUGACACGUUACUGACUCUCUUUCUCAUUUUUUGGGGAUCAGAUUCUCCCGAGUAUUGUCUCAGUUAUUGAUCUCUUGAAAGAACAAACUUUUCUCUCCCAUUGAUCAUUUCUACUAUUUUCAUUAUUAUUAUUUUAUUUCAUUAAUGUCUGUUUUUAUCUUAAUUAAUCUCUCUUCUUUCUUUGGAUAUUAUUCUUUUAUUAGCUUUCAUGGAUUGGAAGUUUAUUUCUUUUCUGUGGGUUUUGUCUAGAUCUCAAAUGCAUAAAAGUAGAUUAAGCAUAGUUUUGGCUCAUGACUUACCAUCAGCUCACAUUUGUUUGAUUUUUUAUUUAAUAUAAAAAAGCUCUUAUAAAAAUACUAUCCCAAAUAAGAGGUAGGACCUGGACUCUCUUCAUCUAACCUUGUGGCCUUUCUAUCCUAUCUCCCUUUCUCCCUGCACUUUAGGUAACCAUCAUCCUGAAUCCUAUGUGUUUCUUUCUUUUUCAUAUAGCUUUAUUACAUCUCCAUGUACACCUAAAGUUAUAUGUCUUUAUUUUAGUCAUCUUAUAUUUUAUGAGAAGAGUCUCAUGUGUAAUUUUGUUUGGAACUCCCCCACGCCCCAUUUUAAUAUAGAAAUGUGCAUUUCUACAAUUGUCUGGAUGCAGAAUUUUAUAUAUGUCAAUCAGAUCAUGUUUAUUAGUACUGAUAAGGAAAAUCUGUGUCCUAAGAUGGCCCACCGAGCCAGUGAGAGAGUCCCAGUCCUUGCCCCGCGGCUCCUCCGGGUUGUUCUCCCUGCCCCGCUUUGCGCACACGCCCAAAGUGCCAAGUAUGCGGAAGAAGAAGUGUAUAAAUUGCCCCUUUGUUUGUGAUCGGGGCUCAGACCUUUGGAGAUCACUCUCCUCUGACCUCGCUGGAGUUAAAUAAAACCUCUUA
Mirounga angustirostris (Northern elephant seal) is the source of this 1658-nucleotide long non-coding RNA. RefSeq lists it as uncharacterized. The record is from RefSeq and is a predicted model, not a curated record. NCBI's taxonomy places the organism in Eukaryota, Metazoa, Chordata, Mammalia, Carnivora, Phocidae. The transcript is spliced from 3 exons.